This 214-nucleotide unclassified non-coding RNA is filed under the name Hevea brasiliensis (rubber tree). Lineage: Eukaryota; Viridiplantae; Streptophyta; Magnoliopsida; Malpighiales; Euphorbiaceae. The record is from RNAcentral.
AAAAAAGCUAAUGUCUGGUAUGUACGAUCAAGGAGGAGACGCUGCUCCGUCUUACGGAGCCCCUGGAGGCGGUGGAGGCUACGGUGGUGGAGGCUACGGUGGUGGAGGUGGAGGCUACGGAGGCGGUGGUGGUGCAGGCUAUGGUGGAAAGGGCGGUGACGGUGGAUAUGGCGGUGGAGGCCGGGGCGGCGGUAGAGGCUACGGAGGACGAGGC